UUUAACAUUGUCAAUUAUACAAUAUAGGAAAAGGUCAACCUUUGACUCCUGAACAAUAUGAAAAAAUUGAGGAAUUUGCUAAGGUCCAGAACAUUCCAAGAGAAAACAUUCAAGAUAUUCUGGCUACAGAUAAUUGUCCUAAAUAAUGACCUUCUUUAGAUGACAACAGGAUGAGAAUUAUGCAUCAUAUUCUCUUGGGCAUGAAGUCAGUAUUACAUAUAAAUCAUCAUUUCUUUUUAAAUGAAUUUUCCCCUCACCUGUGAAGUCUGGAU
Long non-coding RNA from Alexandromys fortis (reed vole), 272 nucleotides. RefSeq lists it as uncharacterized. The transcript has 3 exons. Lineage: Eukaryota; Metazoa; Chordata; Mammalia; Rodentia; Cricetidae. The record is from RefSeq and is a predicted model, not a curated record.